UACGGGAGGGCAGCAGUGGGGAAUAUUGCACAAUGGGCGCAAGCCUGAUGCAGCCAUGCCGCGUGUAUGAAGAAGGCCUUCGGGUUGUAAAGUACUUUCAGUCGUGAGGAAGGUGUUAAGGUUAAUAACCUUAGCAAUUGACGUUAGCGACAGAAGAAGCACCGGCUAACUCCGUGCCAGCAGCCGCGGUAAUACGGAGGGUGCGAGCGUUAAUCGGAAUUACUGGGCGUAAAGGGCACGCAGGCGGUUAAUUAAGUUGGAUGUGAAAUCCCCGGGCUUAACCUGGGAAUGGCAUUCAAGCUGGUUAGCUAGAGUCUUGUAGAGGGGGUAGAAUUCCAUGUGUAGCGGUGAAAUGCGUAGAGAUGUGGAGGAAUACCGGUGGCGAAGGCGGCCCCUGGACAAAGGACUGACGCUCAUGUGCGAAAGCGUGGGGAGCGAAAC
RNAcentral lists this ribosomal RNA (441 nucleotides) under uncultured bacterium. RNAcentral's name for it is "bacterial SSU rRNA". It matches the Rfam family "Bacterial small subunit ribosomal RNA", at positions 340 to 774 of the family's 1533-position model. The record is from RNAcentral.